UACGGAGGGUGCAAGCGUUAAUCGGAAUUACUGGGCGUAAAGCGUGCGCAGGCGGUUUGUUAAGUCCGUUGUGAAAGCCCCGAGCUCAACUUGGGAAUUGCAGUGGAUACUGGCAGGCUGGAGUACGGUAGAGGAAGGUGGAAUUCCCGGUGUAGCAGUGAAAUGCGUAGAUAUCAGGAGGAACACCGGUGGCGAAGGCGGGUCUCUGGGCCGUUACUGACGCUGAGGAGCGAAAGCGUGGGGAGCGAACAGG
RNAcentral lists this ribosomal RNA (253 nucleotides) under uncultured bacterium. RNAcentral describes it as "partial 16S ribosomal RNA". It matches the Rfam family "Bacterial small subunit ribosomal RNA", at positions 524 to 776 of the family's 1533-position model. The record is from RNAcentral.